UCCCUCCCUCCCUCCCUCCCUCUCCUCUUCCUCUCCCUCCUCCACAUCCUCCUCCUCCCUCAUCUCCACCUCCUCAUCCUCUUCACCUCCUCCUCCUCUUCACAUCUACCUCUUCACCUCCACCUCUUCCUUUUACCUCCUCCUCUUCCUCUUCCUCCACCUUCCUCUCCAACUCCUCCACCUCUUCCUCCUCCUCCCUCUCGUACUCAUCCUCCAUUUUGUACUGCAUGGUUAUAUGUUACAGUGUCUAUGUCCCUACUAUGACUGUGUUACUCACUAUAUAUGAACAUCAUGUGUACAUACGUAUUGCCUUGGCUGCUAUAGAGAGAUAUAUUUGAUUCCAAAGCCAGAUAUUGUGAUGUAGAGUGCAUUACAUACAUAUUUUUUCAUUGUUUAGAUAGUUUAUCCAUAAAGUAAAAUUGUACAAUAUUGAUAGAACUUCUAAGAAUAAUUCAUAUGCAAAACAAGUAAGCUAUAUUUCAUACAUUCAAGUCUGGGAUAAAAUGUGGUAAAAAGAAAGAAAGUGGAAUAGCUUCCUUAUAGUUUACCUGAGAAUAUAUUUUAUUUUAGUGUUGUAGUUGAAUAGUAGUAGUAGCGGUAGUAGUAGUAGUAGUGGUAGUAGUAGUAGUAGUAGUAGUAGCAGUAGUAGUAGUAAUAGUUGUAGCAGUAGUAGUAGUAGUAGUAGUAACAGUAGUAGUAGUAGUAGUAGUAGUAGUGGUAGUUGUAGCAGUAGUAGUAGUAGUAGUAGUAGUAGUAGCAGUAGCAGCAGUGGUAGUAGUGGUAGUAGUAGUAGUAACAGUAGUAGUAACAGUAGUAGUAGUUGUAGCAGUAGUAGUAGUAGUAGUAGUGGUAGUUGUAGCAGUAGCAGUAGUAGUAGUAGCAGUAGUAGUAGUAGUAGUAGUAGUAGUAGCAGUAGCAGCAGUGGUAGUAGUGGUAGUAGUAGUAGUAGUAGUAGUAGUAGUAGUAGUAGUAGCAGUAGUAGUAGUAGUAGUAGUAGUAGUGGUAGUAGUAGUAGUAGUAGCAGUAGUAGCAGUAGUAGCAGUAGUAGUAGUAGUAGUAGGAUUACCGGGUCCAGUUUAUUAGGUACACCCAUCUAGUAUCAGGCCAGUUUAUUAGGUACACCCAUCUAUAUCAGGCCAGUUUAUUAGGUACACCCAUCUAGUAUCAGGCCAGUUUAUUAGGUACACCCAUCUAGCAGGCCAGUUUAUUAGGUACACCCAUCUAGUAUCAGGCCAGUUUAUUAGGUACACCCAUCUAGUAUCCGGACAGUUUAUUAGGUACACGUGAAGGAGGAGGACGGCGAUUUAGGAGAUACCGAAUCAUACCACGCUCAAAGUCGUUUAGGUCACUCGUUUUACCCCAUUCUAACGUUCAAUAGAACAGUAACUGAAUGCCUUGAUGCCUGUCUGCCUGCUUUAUAUAGCAAGGCAGGGCCACGUAACUCACUGUCUGUAUGACAGCCAUCCAUUUUGGUGAACGUGGUUGUGUACCUAAUAAAGUGGCCGUGGUGAGUGUAGUUUAGAAUAACACAGCCAUAUCGAGUAACAACAUGUUAUCUACAACUGGCUUGAUGUGAGAGCAGGAUGAAAUCAUUAUUCAAACCCGUCAUUGGCUCGUCAUUGGCUACCAAGCCCUCAUUAGUGAGAUAGACAACCAGACAUUGGUAUUGUCUCUAAAUGCAUGUGCAGUAUACAUCACUGAGAGACUCGAAAGGCAUGACUGGAUACCAUCACUGGUGGAUCGCCAUGUCUUUCCAGUCUUUACUUAGCUAUGGAUUCAACUAUUUCCUACAUAAUGAAGUCAGUCAACCAAAUAUUUAUUUACAGCAGGUAGAAUACAAUGUAGAGGCAAACGCUAGAUUUAUUUGAAUAUAGAUUUGUACAGUGUUGUUGUUGUUGUUGUUGUAUAUAAUGCACUAUAUGUCAAUGCUAUUCUAAUGCUGUCUCUCUUGGAGAAGGGACCCCUGAUCAAAUGAAAUGGAAUUCAGAAUCACUGUUUCAAAAGGCUUCUUCGUGAACAAUCUAGAACAUUCUAUGGAAUUAUAGAAUCACAGAACAACCGAAGGGACGGAAUCAGCUGACGUGGACUAACCUGAGCUGAACUGUCUCCAACUAGCAAACAUAGAUUUACUUUUAUAAAAAUGGGGUUAUAUAUAAGAGAACAGAGAGAGUUUUCAAUGAGUGAAUUUUUUGAUGUUGUUGUUGAUAAUAAUCAUUGGUUGCUAAUAAAAAAUGUACAUCCUGAUACUAUUGCAAAUUAUAUCCAGUAAACACUAUUGUUUUGGAUA
This 2287-nucleotide long non-coding RNA is filed under the name Salmo salar (Atlantic salmon). RNAcentral describes it as "lncRNA (ENSSSAG00000095357.1)". Lineage: Eukaryota; Metazoa; Chordata; Actinopteri; Salmoniformes; Salmonidae. The record is from RNAcentral.